This 399-nucleotide ribosomal RNA is filed under the name uncultured bacterium. RNAcentral describes it as "bacterial SSU rRNA". It matches the Rfam family "Bacterial small subunit ribosomal RNA", at positions 359 to 775 of the family's 1533-position model. The record is from RNAcentral.
GAAUAUUGGACAAUGGGCGAAAGCCUGAUCCAGCAAUGCCGCGUGAGUGAUGAAGGCCUUAGGGUUGUAAAGCCCUUUUACCCGGGAUGAUAAUGACAGUACCGGGAGAAUAAGCUCCGGCUAACUCCGUGCCAGCAGCCGCGGUAAUACGGAGGGAGCUAGCGUUGUUCGGAAUUACUGGGCGUAAAGCGCACGUAGGCGGCUAUUCAAGUCGGGGGUGAAAGCCCGGGGCUCAACCCCGGAACUGCCCUCGAAACUAGGUAGCUAGAAUCUUGGAGAGGCGAGUGGAAUUCCGAGUGUAGAGGUGAAAUUCGUAGAUAUUCGGAAGAACACCAGUGGCGAAGGCGACUCGCUGGACAAGUAUUGACGCUGAGGUGCGAAAGCGUGGGGAGCAAACAG